RNAcentral lists this long non-coding RNA (756 nucleotides) under Nicotiana tabacum (common tobacco). RNAcentral's name for it is "long non-coding RNA (NTAB_LNC016690)". The record is from RNAcentral. Lineage: Eukaryota; Viridiplantae; Streptophyta; Magnoliopsida; Solanales; Solanaceae.
UACAACUGAUAUUUUUUGUGUUUUUAGUGAGAUAAAUAUUCAACUUUUGAAAAACCCAAUAUGAGCAACCUUGAAAUAAAUGGUAGCCCCCACUUGAAACAACUGUUUUACACAAGAAGAUUAAUAAUACCCGUCAGAUGUAGCAUUAUUAGUAGUUAGCGGUGGUGAUGAGAAGCCAUCCAGAAUCAAGUCAUCCAGCUUUCUUCAACAUCAGAAGCAGUUGGCACAUGGCUAGAGAGCUGCUUCUUAAGAUCCUCGUUUUCCCUAAAUCAUAUGGAGAAAAAAAAAACAUGGAUUGAAAAAUCAUAACAAGAUCCUUUAAUAUAUGAUAAACACAAUAAACAAACUUAGAAAAAACUAAGUAUACCUCUUUAAAUUUUCAACUGUCCUUUCUAAAGCUUCUAACUUAACUAUGAAACCAUCCACGUGAUCUGAUUCUUUCAGUGGUGCAACUUCUUUCACUCGAUUAGUUAUCCAUGCUUAUUUUUUAAGAGGUAUUAUAUCAGUUAGCUUGUUUCUCAAUUUUUCUUGACCACCAUAGAAUUCGCGUGGACCCAAGAAAUCAUCAAUACCAGAUUCCCUAGUAAACGAUUCAACAAAAACACAUCCCUGAUAAUUUAUUGUUGGAUUGGUGUUGUGACAUAUGAAACAACUCUGAAUCGUCUGAGAAGACGAGGAUGACUGAAGCAAAUCCAGAGGUGGAGAACCAAAAGUAUGCCCAACAUUAGAAAGCCUCUUCUUAAUAUCCUCAUUUUC